UGCAAUAUGGGCCACUCCAACACAGAAAUCGAUGUGACCAGCCUCCGCACUCCGGAGCUGACGUGGGAGCGAGUACGUUCUCAGGUGGACCAUGUCAUCUGGCCAGAUGGCAAACGAGUUGUCCUCCUGGCAGAGGUACACACAGAGAAGGACCCUGGCAGAGCAGCACAAGCAGAGUAGUUAGAUCCAUGAGGGGAGAGGGGAGGGAAACAAAUAUUGGGCCUAUGUUUCCCUGAAUUUUAUCUUUGGAGAGAGAGAGAUUUCACAAAUUGGUCCCCAAAAUAAAACCACUUUAAAAAAAUCUACUUUUUACUAAGUAACACUAUUUCCUAACCACAGCUGAUUCUUUAACCUUUCAGACUCAGAUGGAUUUGCAGAAAAUAGGAAAAAGCCUAGAGUCCUGAUCUGGAACUGUAAUUCUUCCUCUUCCAACUGAGUCUAGAGGGGUGUAAAGUCCUCUCCCGCUUUGGCUUGACUUGUAUGCCAUUGGAAUCUGAGACAGAGCUCAUCCCAGGGCUCUCUCUUACCUUUCCAGGGUCGUCUACUCAAUUUGAGCUGCUCAACAGUUCCCACCU
Molecule: small RNA, 575 nt
Filed under: Pan troglodytes (chimpanzee)
Lineage: Eukaryota; Metazoa; Chordata; Mammalia; Primates; Hominidae
Description: processed transcript
Source: RNAcentral